RNAcentral lists this ribosomal RNA (533 nucleotides) under uncultured bacterium. Its description in RNAcentral is "bacterial SSU rRNA". It matches the Rfam family "Bacterial small subunit ribosomal RNA", at positions 59 to 565 of the family's 1533-position model. The record is from RNAcentral.
CAGUCGACGCUUCUUUUUCACCGGAGCUCGCUCCACCGGAAAAAGAGGAGUGGCGAACGGGUGAGUAACACGUGGGUAACCUGCCCAUCAGAAGGGGAUAACACUUGGAAACAGGUGCUAAUACCGUAUAACAAUCGAAACCGCAUGGUUUUGAUUUGAAAGGCGCUUUCGGGUGUCACUGAUGGAUGGACCCGCGGUGCAUUAGCUAGUUGGUGAGGUAACGGCUCACCAAGGCCACGAUGCAUAGCCGACCUGAGAGGGUGAUCGGCCACAUUGGGACUGAGACACGGCCCAAACUCCUACGGGAGGCAGCAGUAGGGAAUCUUCGGCAAUGGACGAAAGUCUGACCGAGCAACGCCGCGUGAGUGAAGAAGGUUUUCGGAUCGUAAAACUCUGUUGUUAGAGAAGAACAAGGAUGAGAGUAACUGUUCAUCCCUUGACGGUAUCUAACCAGAAAGCCACGGCUAACUACGUGCCAGCAGCCGCGGUAAUACGUAGGUGGCAAGCGUUGUCCGGAUUUAUUGGGCGUAAAG